RNAcentral lists this ribosomal RNA (300 nucleotides) under uncultured Alteromonadales bacterium. RNAcentral's name for it is "bacterial SSU rRNA". It matches the Rfam family "Bacterial small subunit ribosomal RNA", at positions 114 to 417 of the family's 1533-position model. The record is from RNAcentral. Lineage: Bacteria; Pseudomonadati; Pseudomonadota; Gammaproteobacteria; Alteromonadales.
CGCGUAGGAAUCUACCCAGUAGUGGGGGACAACAGCUGGAAACAGCUGCUAAUACCGCAUACGCCCUACGGGGGAAAGCGGGGACCCUUCGGGCCUCGCGCUAUUGGAUGAGCCUGCGUUGGAUUAGCUUGUUGGUGAGGUAAAAGCUCACCAAGGCGACGAUCCAUAGCUGGUCUGAGAGGAUGAUCAGCCACACUGGAACUGAGACACGGUCCAGACUCCUACGGGAGGCAGCAGUGGGGAAUAUUGCGCAAUGGGGGAAACCCUGACGCAGCCAUGCCGCGUGUGUGAAGAAGGCCU